CAAUAGCGUAUAUUAAAGUUGUUGCAGUUAAAAAGCUCGUAGUUGGAUUUCUGGUGGGAGCGGCCGGUCCGCCGUAAGGUGUGUACUUGGUUGUCUCCUGUCAUCCUUGUGGGAACUGCUCUGGCAUUAAGUUGUCGGGGUUAGGGAACACAUCGUUUACUGUGAAAAAAUUAGAGUGUUUAAAGCAGGCUUAUGCCGUUGAAUACAUUAGCAUGGAAUAAUAAGAUAGGACUUUGGCGUCUAUUUUGUUGGUUUGCACACCAAGGUAAUGAUUAAUAGGGAUAGUUGAGGGUAUUCGUAUUUAAUUGUCAGAGGUGAAAUUCUUGGAUUUAUGAAAGACGAACUUCUGCGAAAGCAUUUACCAAAGAUGUUUUCAUUAA
RNAcentral lists this ribosomal RNA (380 nucleotides) under uncultured eukaryote. RNAcentral describes it as "partial 18S ribosomal RNA". It matches the Rfam family "Eukaryotic small subunit ribosomal RNA", at positions 592 to 976 of the family's 1831-position model. The record is from RNAcentral.